UUGGAUCAGUUUCAUCAGAAG
This 21-nucleotide microRNA is filed under the name Asparagus officinalis (garden asparagus). RNAcentral's name for it is "aof-miR12175". The record is from miRBase by way of RNAcentral. Lineage: Eukaryota; Viridiplantae; Streptophyta; Magnoliopsida; Asparagales; Asparagaceae.